Molecule: long non-coding RNA, 1249 nt
Filed under: Cervus hanglu yarkandensis (Yarkand deer)
Lineage: Eukaryota; Metazoa; Chordata; Mammalia; Artiodactyla; Cervidae
Description: lncRNA (ENSCHYG00000005416.1)
Source: RNAcentral
GGGCAGAAUAAAAAAUUACUAAAAAAAAAUCUUCUCAAAAUUACGGAAAUCGAGCGGCGGCGGCGGCUCCCCCCGCCCGCCGGCCCGCCCGCCCCCUCCCCGGCUCCCCGGCCCCGGGCGCAGCGCGCAUGUGUCCUGCUAUAAUUAUGAUUAUCAAUAAUGCAUUGCGAUUAAUCAUAGAGGGGCUCUUUGAAAGGCGAUUGGCACCGGGCCAGCGCUAUUCAAACCCGCUCGCCUUAAUCAAUUAGUUUGUGAUUUGCUGCAGACCCCUGUCUCUCCGCGCGCUGGCCCAAUAAGCCGGCCGCGGGGCUGGCUCUGCGAGCCGCGCCGCCCGACACUGGGUUAACCCUCUUCGCGACCGCCCGGGACUCCGCGGCCGGGCCGCCGGGGGCCUGCCUUCUCGCCUCUGAGCACCCGGCGCCCCGGCCUGAGCCCCCCUCCCUCCCUCGGCCCCCCCAUCCCGGGCUGGGCCGACCCAAAUUAGCAUGCCCUCCCCGGAAUUAAGCCUCCCCGGGUGGGGGGUGGGGCCGGGCGGCGGGGGCUGGGGACCCGGGCUGCGGGCGCGCGGCGAACUUCCCAACUCCGGCGCUAGGAGCGCCGGCCCGCGGGGGGAGGGAGUCCCGUGGCGGGAUUUGGGGGGAGGAAGUCCCGUUUCGUGAGUGUUUCUUCGUUUCUUUAAGAGCUACCAGAAAGCAGCCCACCCCCACCCCCAUAAAAAAAAAAAUAAGCGAGUGGGGAAGAGCCAGCCCCACGCCGGUCCGCCUCCCGCCCGCGGCCCGGCCUCCCUCCCGCUCGCUGCUUGGCUCGGCGCUCCUUCGCCCCGAGUUCUCCAUCCCCUGGAUCCCGGGCUCGCGGGGGCGCGGAGAAGAGGACCAAGGAAAGAUGCGUGGAGAGGUUUGGAAGCUCUAGGAGAAGAAAGAUGUUGGGAACAAAUAACUGCCUGCACCUUCUCUCCUGCCCAGAGGAAAGAGCCAGGAAAUAGGAAGAUUUCCAAGCCAAAGUCUGCAACUCAUCCAUGGGGCUGCAGGAUCAUGCAUAUUGCCGACUGAACUCAGGACCACUGAAGUCUCCCAUGACCCACAAAUGCCUUGAACUAAACAUACUGCAGGGAUGCUGACAUCUAUAAACUUAUGAGUCCGAUGAGGUCUCCACUGAUAUUAAACCUCUUGAAGCCUUCUUUUGCUGUUUGUGUUUUUUAUUGUAAAAUGGGCAAAAUGAUAGUGUCUACCUGUCUUAGUCCUAGUCCAUU